Molecule: ribosomal RNA, 469 nt
Filed under: uncultured bacterium
Lineage: Bacteria
Description: partial 16S ribosomal RNA
Rfam family: Bacterial small subunit ribosomal RNA
Source: RNAcentral
GACGAACGCUGGCGGCGUGCUUAACGCAUGCAAGUCGAACGGAAAGGCCCUGCUUGCCGGGUGCUCGAGUGGCGAACGGGUGAGUAACACGUGGGUGAUCUGCCCCUUAUUUUGGGAUAAGCCUGGGAAACUGGGUCUAAUACUGGAUAGGACCAUGCUGUAGGGGGUGGGGUGGAAAGAUUAGUUUCGGUAAGGGAUGAGCUCGCGGCCUAUCAGCUUGUUGGUGGGGUAAUGGCCUACCAAGGCGUCGACGGGUAGCCGGCCUGAGAGGGUGGACGGCCACAUUGGGACUGAGAUACGGCCCAGACUCCUACGGGAGGCAGCAGUGGGGAAUAUUGCACAAUGGGCGCAAGCCGGAUGCAGCGACGCCGCGUGGGGGAUGACGGCCUUCGGGUUGUAAACUCCUUUCAGCCAUGACGAAGCCCUUGUGGUGACGGUAGUGGUAGAAGAAGCACCGGCUAACUACGUG